UUCUUAUAGUCGAAAUAAAAUUAAUCAAAUCUAACCAGUAAUCAGCAGUUGUUAAGUGUUGUUAUAAAUACUUGGAAUCUUUGAAAGGAACAUCUGAGCAACGGAACACGUAGCCUUGCAGUUGGGCCGGGCACUUGUAUAUGAUUGAGUCAAACAGCUAUUGAUUUUCUCUUAAAUUAAUUUAUUAUUUGCAUAAUAUAUCCGCUAUACAUAAAUGACAACCUUGAAAAACAUGCUUACGUAUCAACAUGAGAACGUUUUUCAGUUCUCUUUUUUUAAUAGGACCGAUCUUACUAGGAUUAUUAAUAAAGUGACAUUAAGUAGACCUCUCAA
This 333-nucleotide long non-coding RNA is filed under the name Brassica napus (rape). RNAcentral describes it as "long non-coding RNA (BNAP_LNC005266)". The record is from RNAcentral. Lineage: Eukaryota; Viridiplantae; Streptophyta; Magnoliopsida; Brassicales; Brassicaceae.